UGAAGUCUCAGUUGUGACCGGAGGCCAAACUGGAGUUAUUCUGUAGCUGGGCUGUAGGGAUCACCUUCAGCACCCUGGCGGGACUGGUCUUUGACUGGACGAUUGAGAAGGACACGCAGGCGGGCGGGUUCUCAGACUCCCACAGUGCCCUGCGCUGCAUGAGCUGGACACAGUUCUUUCCCCUGCACUCUCCAGCCUAGAAACUGAGACUGGGAGAGGUCCAGCCAUUGUCUGGAGUUGGUAAGUGACAGAGCUGGGAUUUGAACUCAGGAACAUGGAGUGAUGGCCGGGUGGGCCUUCAGUUGGGAGCCCCAAUAACAGUGUCUAGGGUUUUUUUCUCCCAGGGUGAGUCCCUUCCCGGAGCAGGGUUUUUCAACCUCCAAAGCUGGCGAUUGUGAGGUUUCAGUUCACCUACAAUCAUUCAAAUUGCCUGAUUUCAGCGUGUCACUGAGUGGACACCUGAAUCUCCUGUCCAAGGAAUCUCUUUUUUUUCUUUCCUAGGAAUAAAUCUUUGAAGUUAUGCUGGGGUAGAGGAUGGCCAGCUGCCCAGCAGCAUAGACUUGGAAAGGGGGCCUGUUUACCUGCUCUUCAAAUAUCUGCUGGUUUGGAGGAUGCCAAAAAUCUUGUCAUCACCUUCCCAGAAACAAAAGUGCUGAGGGCCAAGGCCAUUGCUAGAGCCUGGAGUGUGUUGGGAACUGGCUGGCCCCAGGGCUGCCUGAAGAUCAUUUGGCUGCAUCUCUCUGCCUCUCUGGAGCCUGCUACUGCCGGAAACAAGAGGACGUCUUGUGUCUCCCCAAGUACUUUUCCUGGUAAGGCUUUGUCCCAGGUGAGGAAAAGCAUCAUCCCACAGCAAAUCCCUUUAGCAUGGACUGCCAUUGCAUCUUCUUUGUGUAUAAUUCCUCUGAAUUCAGUUUUCCAGGCUGGUCUGCCAGCUGGCCAUCCUGCAGUCCAAGUCAAGCUUUCCUGCCUUUUGUGCCAAUAGACAAAGACUUAGUGAGUUAAUGUGAUUCCUUGGCUCUUCCUCUAGAGAAAUUAUGUCUUGGUUACUUUUUCAUUGCGGGGACAAAACACUCAACAGUCACAAUUUAAAGGAGGAGAGGUUUAUUUUGGCUCACACUUUCAUAAGUUUCAGUCCACGCUCCAGCUCAGGGCCAGCAUGGUGGAAGGGCCUGGGUGGAUGAAUGCGGCUUGCAGCAAGGCAGCUAGGAAGCAGAAGGAGGAACUGAGGAAGGAGAUACGCUCUCUCAGGUCAUGCCCCAGUGACCCACAGCUGCUGACAGGGCUCUUCCUGCUAAGAGCACACAGUAAGGACCUCAUCAGUGAAUCAAUCCACUGAUAAGCACAGCGCCCCCAUGAUCCAAGCAUCUUCUGAAUGCCCCACUGUAGGGAACAGGGAAAGGGGACGUUACUAGAACCUCUGCAGUAUGUCCUAGUCUCCUUCGAGCCAUGACAGCACAAGGCGAAUCAGUUUAUUACACAGAAAAGAUAGAAAAAAUGAGACUUAGAGAAGAAGCUGAGCUUUGGGCCUGAUCAGUGCUGCUCUGGGCAGCAAAGAGGAAAGCCCCCAGCUUGUGGCACCUUUAUUCAGUACAUCGGGAGAAACAAAUGUAGCAGAUGACUCAGGGCAGAGAGGUCAGUACAUGCAGAGAAACACAUGUAACAGAUGACUCAGUGGUCAGAGGAAAUCUUAGAAUAAUGAGGAACUACGCAGAUGAAGAUUUUGUUCCUCGCAGGAUGUCUUCAGCUGGUGUAAUCUUGUCCUGGAGCAUCACAGCAUCACCGGACCAUUGAGGUCUUAGCUGUGACCAGAGGCCAAAAUGGAGUUAUGUCUUGAAAUGUCGUAGCUGGCCUGUAGGCAGGAGAACUACACCUGAUCAAAUGAUUUUUCCCCGAAAUUAUGUAGAAUUGCUCCCGGGACCCACCAAUACAUGAGGCUUUUGGAAUGAGAGGGCCUUCCAGUUCCAAACCAUAGCAAAUUGCUUUGGAAAUCCCACAGGUUUCAACAAAAUAUAUGUUUCAUAGUGUAAUCAUGGGCAAAAUAUAUGUUUCAUAGUGUAAGCAUGCUCUGGAAUUUGGAACUUAGGCUAUUUUGGCUUUUGAAAUGUAAAUGAAAAUCAAAGGUAUUUAGGUUGUUGUUAAUGGUUUUAAUAUAUCAGCUCUCCAGGGCUGGGGAUUUAGCUCAGUGGCAACGCACCUGCCUUGCAAGCACAAGGUCCUGAGUUCGAUCCCCAGUACCAAAAAACAAAGCAAAC
Molecule: long non-coding RNA, 2252 nt
Filed under: Heterocephalus glaber (naked mole-rat)
Lineage: Eukaryota; Metazoa; Chordata; Mammalia; Rodentia; Bathyergidae
Description: lncRNA (ENSHGLG00000029670.2)
Source: RNAcentral